Molecule: transfer RNA, 74 nt
Filed under: Loxodonta africana (African savanna elephant)
Lineage: Eukaryota; Metazoa; Chordata; Mammalia; Proboscidea; Elephantidae
Rfam family: tRNA
About the family: Transfer RNA (tRNA) molecules are approximately 80 nucleotides in length. Their secondary structure includes four short double-helical elements and three loops (D, anti-codon, and T loops).
Source: Rfam by way of RNAcentral
GCCACUGCAUUACAAAUGGUUAAUAUGCUCAGCUACUAACCAAAAGGUUGGAGGUUCAAAUCCUCUCAGAGGUA